RNAcentral lists this transfer RNA (65 nucleotides) under Pentatoma semiannulata. Its description in RNAcentral is "tRNA-Ala". It matches the Rfam family "tRNA". Rfam says of the family: Transfer RNA (tRNA) molecules are approximately 80 nucleotides in length. The record is from RNAcentral. Lineage: Eukaryota; Metazoa; Arthropoda; Insecta; Hemiptera; Pentatomidae.
GGGGUUGUAGUUUAUUAAACAACAUUUAAUUUGCAAUUAAAAAAUACUAAUUAUAGUCUACCUCA